AUGCGCCAUCUAGUGGCGAAAGCAUGUGGAACAAUUUAUAUUAAAAAGGUUCCACCCGGACUCAUUUUAAGUGCGCACCCCCUGCUAGGCGCGCGCACCUUGGCGCUGCCGCAGACACGAGGAGCUCUCGGAAAGAAAGGAAUAAUUUCAAGCCAAACAGUUAUUAGCCCCUCGUGGAUGCCAGCCCGCGAGGAGCCAGCACCUCCUGUCCACGCCUCCUCCAGGAAGUCCCUCCUCCAGGAAGCCGCUGCUGCACCUCCAGAUCUGGAAUCUGGUGUGAUGUGGGAAGUCUGUGCCUUCAACCAAAGUUCCCGCUGGAGCGUCCCGUUCCCCGGUUGGGGUGGAGCAGCAGCAGCUGGAGGCCAGGAGAGAUGUUCUCCAGAUGGUGUCGGGACGGGCUGCAGUGCAAUACGAGUCCAGACGCGUGUCACGCUGUCAUGCGGACCAACUCGCUUUAUUUUUGUAUCGCUGUUUUCCUGAUUUCUAUUUUUCUAAACGACUGAAACGGAGAAAAAAACAGGAGGUCAUCCGCCGGAUGGACGGUUUCCUCAGACCCGACCCGUUCCGUCCUGUGCCGACCAGCGCCAAAGCCAUAUCUGAACCAACCCUGUGCCACGUGACUGAAACGCCCCCCGGAGGGAGGCGUUCGGGUCCCCCGGACGCCGCGGCCUCGUCGUGUCUCCCCACCUUAGUGUUGCUCUAAAUAUUUUUUUACUUCCUCCAACAUAUCAGAUCUGCUCAGGAGGUGGGG
RNAcentral lists this long non-coding RNA (751 nucleotides) under Oryzias javanicus (javanese ricefish). Its description in RNAcentral is "lncRNA (ENSOJAG00000017183.1)". The record is from RNAcentral. Lineage: Eukaryota; Metazoa; Chordata; Actinopteri; Beloniformes; Adrianichthyidae.